This 350-nucleotide long non-coding RNA is filed under the name Cyanistes caeruleus (blue tit). Its description in RNAcentral is "lncRNA (ENSCCEG00000017395.1)". Lineage: Eukaryota; Metazoa; Chordata; Aves; Passeriformes; Paridae. The record is from RNAcentral.
UGCAGGUCUUGUGGAAACAUUUCAUUUUCAUUCCACAAGAUCCUCUUAGGCCUUCAUGACAAUUCCCAGCCUGGAGAACUGCUCAUGGAGAAGGGAAGACACAGAGGAUCCUGCAAACGCUUCCUGUGAAUGAGAACGUCCUGCUGAGCAGCAGCCGGAUCCAGCGCCCACAGAAGGCAGUGGAAGAGCUCCGACUGAUGACAGUGGAUGUUGGAUGAAUUCCCACCUCAUCCUCGUGUUUAAAUGAUGAAAAUUGAGCUGCUGGGUUCUGGUUUCUCUUGAAGUCUUCUCUUAGGAAUAACGCCCAUCCUGACUGAAAAUCUUUCCAGCUCUCCAGACACAACCUCAAG